UGCAACCUUGAAAGAACUUAGUGUUCUAUUAAGUCAUCAGGGAUGUUUGAACACGAUGUUCAAACAAGUCGCCGUUGAGCCAUGGACGGCGAAUCGGCGACGAUCCCGUACGUUAGAAAAAGAGUAUAUUAGAACACUUAGUACUUUCUGGUU
RNAcentral lists this non-coding RNA (153 nucleotides) under human gut metagenome. The record is from RNAcentral.